Molecule: ribosomal RNA, 253 nt
Filed under: uncultured bacterium
Lineage: Bacteria
Description: partial 16S ribosomal RNA
Rfam family: Bacterial small subunit ribosomal RNA
Source: RNAcentral
UACGAGGGGGGCAAGCGUUGUUCGGAAUUAUUGGGCGUAAAGGGCGCGUAGGCGGCUCAUGAAGGCUGUGGUGAAAGUCCGGGGCUCAACCUCGGAUCGGCCGUGGCGACUCGUGGGCUGGAGCACUGUAGAGGCGGGUGGAAUUCCGGGUGUAGCGGUGGAAUGCGUAGAGAUCCGGAAGAACACCAGUGGCGAAGGCGGCCCGCUGGGCAGUGGCUGACGCUGAAGCGCGACAGCGUGGGGAGCAAACAGG